UUUUUGUCUUUGCACAGGGCAAUGAAAUGGCAGAUGAUCUGGUAACAGUGACAAGAACAAAAUCCCACAUACAACUUAAAAAAAAAAAUGAAGAGGCCCUGGAACUGGAUUCAACAGAUUGAGAGGUGACAAGUAACAUUCCAGAUGGCAGAGUCUCCUUCAGCCUGAGCCUCUCAUGACCAGAUGCAAGCAGAGCCCUAGGCUGGAUGCCCAGGCUGUCUCCCGUGGUGGUGUAUCGUGGCUAUCACUGUGCAUCAGCAGAGCACUGGGACUCUAGUUGAUUGGGUGAUAUUUCACUUGGAGAUAUCUUCUAGGGUGGUGCCUUUGGUUGAGAACUUCCUUCAGCCUCAUGGUUUCAUCACUGAGGAAACUGAGACCCUGCUGGUUAAUGACAGACCCAGUCUUUGACUUUCUGACCCUCAGGCCCAGCUUCAGUGUAAGUGUCAUAAGCGUAAGAAUUUUUGUCCAUUUUGCUCACUGUUAAACCCCCAGGGCUUAGUACAGCUUUUGGCACAUAGGAGACACUCAAUUAUUUGUUGAAUGAAUAAAUGAAUGAAUGAGUAGAUGGGUGACAUCCAUUCUAAGAUGCCAUCUCCAAGAUCCACCAGCAACAAAGUGAUUGACUAUUGAUGAUUUCAAAGGCCCUAAACAUAAUCGGCUUUCAGGUGGCUACAAAAAGAAGGUCCAUUACCAGAGAUGAAGGAGCCACAGAGUAAAUGGGAUUCUUCAAGGCAGUGCCACAUUGUCACAGAAACUUGACUUCCAAAUUAAAUGCAGUACCUCCACUGAUUUAAGAUGUACAGUAUUUCCAUUAGAAUAAUAAUAUCACCACUGAGAUUUUGAAUUUAUGUGCAUAUUUAUGGAGGGAGCUGUCUAUUGAUGGAUCAUAAUGAUGACGUCUCUGCUACAAAAGAGUCCAAGCCUGGCGCCACAAAAUGGCCCGCAUUAUUGGAAUUACGCCACGGGUGCAGCACCCAACAUGCUGUUGCCUCUUAGGAAUUGCUAAUUCCAUAAAUUGCUCUUUAAAGGGUGUUUUCUUUAUUCAUUUCCCCAAUUAAAAACAUAUCUAAAGAUUGUUCCAUGCUUUUAACUUCACGCAAGAAUAUUUUUGUGCCCUUUGAGAGGAUAUUUAUUACCUUUAUACAAAGUAUACAGAGCUAGCUAAAGGAAACAGCAUUUACUCUGGAAAAAGUUUUGGAAUGUGCCAGGUUUGUUCUACAUUAUGUUGGUAUUAAAUCUUAGCAACACAUCAGUAUAUGGAAUCUCACCUUGCCAGGUGAGCUAGGUUGAAUGUUUUCAUAUGACAAUGAUUUUCAGUUCGGAUUUAAUGUCUGGGUGAGGCAUGUGAGGCCUAGAAAAGCAAAGAGGCAUUGGCCAUCUAGAGAGAUUUGGUUGUAGUGGUAGAUAUUUGAGUUUCAGUGACCAAGACAUCAGGGACAGCAGGUUGCCCUUUCUUUAUUGUGAGAUCUGGAAGCUGCUUUUUGUUGUAUUAUACUUUAAAGUAACUUAAAGUAUCCUCAAACCCAAAUUGGGUUUUAUUUAUUAAACACUGGAUCUUAUUCUCACUUUUCAGUCUGAGAAACAGAGCUAGAGAACUGUUGGGAAAAAAAAAAUGUAUAUAUAUACAUAUAUAUAUAUAUGUAAUAUUAGCCAGGAUGGUUUAGGUUAUUUUGUGGGGAAAAAACUCCGUCAAAUUUUCCCAGUUCACCCUUUUGAACAACAAAAGUUCAUUUCUCAUUCAAGUCGUAAGUCCCACACAGGUGGGCUGCAGCUUCUCUUCCAUACAGAACUUGCAGACCCACCAUCUGGCACAUGCAUCUUCAAUAGCUGAGGUAGAGGAAGGGACACUUGGAGGUCCAUGCCUGUCUCUUUUGCUCAGAAGUGACUGCACCACAUUUUCCACAACCUACUGGCACCAGUAAUUACACAGUCCCUUCAGUAUGAUAAGGGGGUGGAACAAUAUCUUCUUCCCAUGUGCGAGAAAGAAGAGAACCAGACUUGAGUGAGCACCUGCUAUCUCUACUACAGGUAAUAAAAACUAGCUGCCACUUUCUGUCAGGACAAUUCCCUGAGCUAAAUGAAUUUCACAACCCAUAUAUCCAGGCUCCAAUAUUGUGUAGACUAUCAGAAAUAAAAAUAUGUGACUAGGACAUAUUUGAAAUUUAUCUUUCCUCCUAUAAAUCAUUUAAGUCCAAAUGGUAUGUUAAAAAGAGGUGUAAUCCAAUCCUUUAUGGACUAAGGUGGGAGGAACAUCCUGCCCAGUGUACAUGUAUAACUACACAUAUACAAGGCAGUGGGUUCACAAAGACUCUAAAUCUGCAGCAAAAAGCAUUACCUUAUGCUUUUAUUGUAACAAUUGGGUCCUUCACAUUGCUGCACUCAUUGGAAAGUGGAGGCAUAUUCCUUAAAUAUCUAAUUUACCUUAUAGCUUAGCCUGAUAAAAUAUAUUUUAUCAGACCCUCUAAAAAUUUCCUUAUUUGCAAAUUUUUCCAGUGUUCUUCUGCCUAUGUCCAGUUGAAUAGAGGGAGGGAUGUGGGAUUUACUUACCUCUCAACAUUCAGGGGGAGACGUUUGGUGCCUUAGGCAGCUCUUUGGGCAUGGCGGGCCUGUAGUUUAUUGAUGUCUGUCUGAGAUUGUGUCUUGUCUUCACAGACCAUUGGGUGUCCUGUUCAUUGGCCUCUGCUCUUGGAAUCUGUAGCACCCACGGGCUUCUCUUUGGCUCCUGAUAGUGAGCCAUGCCUGACUUCGUCUCCCCCAGGCUCACUUUUAUCCCCUCUGACCUCUGGCAGGAUAGCUGCCCUGGGGGGUCCACCACACAGUCCAUACUGGUGUAACUUCACCGGCUACCCUGACCUCCUUUAUAAAACACUGUAGCCAAUUCUGGGGCUGGUGCAUACUGCCCAGGUCUGGGAAAGAUAAAUGUCAAAUCCUCCCAUUUUGUUACCAUUCUUAGGUUGUAGAUUUACUUUGAUGUGGUUAUAUUCCAGAUGAGUGAUGAUACCCCACAAGUGGCCUACUGUCAGAAUACUAAUGAGACUAUUGGGGUGCAGGAGGGCCAUCAAAAGAAGAGCUUUUUUCCACCUUUAGUGGUACCCUCAAUUCCCUCCCUGCUCUGGUCAACCUGUGAAGACUCGGGCAGAAUCUGCUUAUCUGACUCUCCCUAGUUGGAUUCGUCAACACUGAGCCACGACAUGAACUCCAAAGAAAAUGAUAUUUUAUAUAGCAUGCAGAGAGUAUAUGGAAGACUCCAAAGUUGAGAACAUGAGCAACUUUGAGAAGGGUUUAAACUUAUGGAUGAUACCAGAGACCUAUCUCCCCUAAACUUUGGAGGGUGAGGUCAUACAGGGCCUGGGCCACAAGCCAUCAUCAGAGACCAAACACUGGAUUCACGGAUCACUGGUGUAACCCAGACGACAUCUCUUAUAAUUUUAUGCUGUCCAGAGGGCUGAACUGCUGACAUCAAAUCUUUAUCUCAAAGAUGCAAAUGUAAACCUAAUGUUCUUUUUCAAACAGUAGCUAGUUAUAGCACUAGAGAUGUUUAAGCCCGAGGCUUUACAAACACUUUUAUAAUAUCAUUAGCCUGAAGAUUGCCCCUGUCUCUAUUUCAUAACACCAACGUUUGCAAAUCUGGGCAUUUGCAAUUCUUUCUAUUUCUUUCCAUGUCAUGGGAGCUCGAGCAUCUGCUUUCAGAGAAUAAACAUUGCUUUCUGCCCUUGAACCCAUGGAGGAUGACAGAGGAGAGGAAAGCUGAACUUCUUGUAUGCCCUUGGCCUCAGUCACCACCAUCCUGCUCUGGUUUCCUUUGGGCUCUGGCUCUGUUGGCCAAACAUUUUCAUGGCUGGUUUAAAGAGGAUGUGCCUAAUUUAGAGCCACUGACACAGGCCAGGGAACAGGCCACCUGGCAAAUGCCUUGGGCUUUGACUAAUUCCACUAACUUACAGCCCAGGCCAAGUUCCCCUCAAGUUGUCCUGAGGUUUGUAAACCUUUUGGCAAUGCUGGGCUAGCACUGGACCAGGUCAUCAGUGUUUCAUGGUCCUCAGCUAGGUGUGAAAUUUUAAUCAAAGGGAUUUGAUUUUUGCAAAAAUAUAACGCACCACCAGAAAUGUCACAUAGAAUUAAACUUUGGAUUCACUGAGGUUCACUAUGAAUCAGAGGGUUUCAUACACAGUGGCCCAUCCUGUCCUCUUUGGUAGGGAUUGGGGGGGCAUGUUAAAAAUAAAUGGAAUCAGGGUAGUUCUGGUCUCUUUUAUCUUAUGGGGAAAUGUUACAAUAAUUUUUAGUCCAUCCACACUUUGGAACUGAAUAAUUACUUUCCACUUUAAUUACAAGAUGGCACAGAAAAUACAUAAGCCUCAGCCCAAAAAUACACUCUCUGCAUCCGGUAGAUAUUAUAGAAAUGAUUUGCUGUUAUAUGCAAUAUGGUCUCCAGACAGGCUCUAGGCUCCCAGAAGUUCAUCUAGGAUGGUUUCAACAAUCCUUAUAUCUGAUAAGUAAACACUAGACAAAGAAGGCAUUGGAACAUCAGCCUAAAAAAUGAGAAUGGGCUCUCACCCAGUAAGACAAAGCCAGAGCCCGGUCCUCUAUAAAGGGAAUUUAAGGCUUCAGAAGGAAGUGGGGCUGAUGGCUAAUGUGGAGAAUGGGUGAGAAAGAUCCCUCUGUAGCUUAGAAUACCAAACUCACCAGAGCUUAACCAGACAGAUUCUGGAGCGACAGAAUCCUUUGAGUAUUGUCCCCUGCCCCAAACCCAGACCAAGUCACUAUAUGUUGCCAGUUACAGAAGUGAUUCACCUGAGCACUGAGGGAAUUCAUUUCUUAUCACUUCUCCUUGACCUGGAGCAGGUCACUGGAUCUCCAUAGGCUUCAGGCGUCCUCUUUCCUCUCUGGUUGGGGCGGGAAGUGGUGGGUAGCAUUGGGCAUGGAACCUAGUGUGGCUUCUAGAAUCAGACUGGUUUAGAACUUGGCUGUGUGACAUUGGGAAAGUUGCUUCUCCCUCGUGUGCCUCAGUUUUGUCAUCUAUAAAACGGGGUAAAUAGUAGAAUCCACCUUGAAGGGGUGCUGCGAAGAUUCAAUGAAGUGCUGACAAUGUAGCUUUUCACACAGUAACCCUUCAAGAUAUAAGACAAGUGAUGAUGAUGCCUCAGUAAAAAGAGCCAUGCCCUGUGUCCUCAUGUGUGUUUAUGUGUGUGCCUGUGUAUAUAAACAGAAAGAGGUGUUCAUGUGUAGGUAUAUGCAUAUGUGUGUGUGUGUGUGCUCGAGUGUGUAAACAGAAAGAGGUGUGUGACUGAAGGGCUUUAACAAAGGAGCAUAGGCCCUAGGUGGCAUGAAGCUGUGAUAGAAACAUGUAACUCCACAGAAUAGAGGUUUCCCUCAUCCUUUGGACCUAGAGUAAGUGAUGCUAGGCUGGUGAUGGUAAUGAGAUCCCAGGUCACCAAGGCCCUUUUAUUCAGUGGCUGCUAGUCUCCAGGUGUCAGAGGGGAGGCUUUACAGAAAUCACUACAGAUUAUCUAUCUGGGGCAAGGGUGACUCAGUACAAAACCAAAAUGAUUGGACUCCUUGGGUGACUUUGCAAGGAUUUUAGCUUCUUCUUUCAGGCAAAGAGAGUGAUCAGGACAUGGGCCAAUGGGGUCUGUAAAUAUCCCUGGAGAUCUCAGAGAUGCAAGGUGGAAUAGACUGAAUGUGGAAGGAAUUUUCUCAUUAUAGGUACACUGAGACUCAAAAGACUUGGAAGGUGAGUAGCAAGUAAACAUAACCUCAGUACUUCAAGGUGCCAAGGCUGGAUCUCCUGUUUAUACUUCUUCCUUGAGGGGUGUGGGGGCUGGCUCUAAACGUGGCCAUUCCUCUGUCUUCCUCUCAGCCCUGCUAGGAAGGCUGUUAUACAUGACAGUGUUACAGCCCACUGGUUAUCUGAUACCUGGGUACUCGUGACUGACUCAUCUGUUUUCUUUUCCCAUAUUUGUUCUCUACCAUUGAUAUGAACCCUUCCAUAAGGAAAGAAGAUACAGAAAAAGAAGAACACAUUCCCUAUGUUAUUUGGAAUUUGCUCUGAACCAACCUUCAGGGAUAAGACAGAAUUAUGGACUAUACUUAGGUUUGGAAAUUUUGGUUGACUAUGUUUAUCUCUUUUAUCAGCCCAAACAAAUCACUAGACUCCAAUUAUUAUAUUUUUAAAUAAUAAUAAUGUUUAAAAAACUGCAAUUCUUUUAAAACAUCUCUAGAUGAAUCAUAUUGUACUUUUCUCAGAGCUAAAAUGAAGUAAUAAGGGAUUCUUAGUAUCUUUCCUACACAUAGAAAAUGAAGCAUAACAAUUUCUUUUCUUUUCUUUUUUUUUUUAAUGGCUGCACCUGUGGCAUAUGGAAAUUCCUGGGCCAGAGGCUGAAUCAGAUCUGCUGCUGCAGCCUACACCAUACCUACAACAAUGUUGGAUCCUUAAACCAGUGAGGCAGGCCAGGGAUUGAACCCACAUCCUCAGAGAGACAACAUC
This 6481-nucleotide long non-coding RNA is filed under the name Sus scrofa (pig). RNAcentral's name for it is "lncRNA (ENSSSCG00030057714.1)". The record is from RNAcentral. Lineage: Eukaryota; Metazoa; Chordata; Mammalia; Artiodactyla; Suidae.